UCUCAGUUCGGAUUGCAGGCUGCAACUCGCCUGUAUGAAGUCGGAAUUGCUAGUAAUCGCGGAUCAGCAUGCCGCGGUGAAUACGUUCCCGGGCCUUGUACACACCGCCCGUCACACUAUGAGAGCCGGGAACACCCGAAGUCCGUAGUCCAACCUCGUGAGGACGCUGCCGAAGGUAGGAUUGGCGACUGGGGUGAAGUCGUAACAAGGUAUC
RNAcentral lists this ribosomal RNA (214 nucleotides) under uncultured bacterium. RNAcentral describes it as "partial 16S ribosomal RNA". It matches the Rfam family "Bacterial small subunit ribosomal RNA", at positions 1286 to 1500 of the family's 1533-position model. The record is from RNAcentral.